AAAAUCUGUCGACUUUAUAAAUCGUGAGGGUUCAAGUCCCUCUAUCCCCA
This 50-nucleotide transfer RNA is filed under the name Coccoloba uvifera (sea grape). RNAcentral's name for it is "transfer RNA-Leu". Lineage: Eukaryota; Viridiplantae; Streptophyta; Magnoliopsida; Caryophyllales; Polygonaceae. The record is from RNAcentral.